RNAcentral lists this ribosomal RNA (490 nucleotides) under uncultured bacterium. RNAcentral's name for it is "partial 16S ribosomal RNA". It matches the Rfam family "Bacterial small subunit ribosomal RNA", at positions 30 to 507 of the family's 1533-position model. The record is from RNAcentral.
AUUGAACGCUGGCGGCAGGCCUAACACAUGCAAGUCGAACGGUAACAGGAAGCAGCUUGCUGCUUUGCUGACGAGUGGCGGACGGGUGAGUCAUGUCUGGGAAACUGCCUGAUGGAGGGGGAUAACUACUGGAAACGGUAGCUAAUACCGCAUAACGUCGCAAGACCAAAGAGGGGGACCUUAGGGCCUCUUGCCAUCGUAUGUGCCCAGGUGGGAUAAGCGAGUAGGUGGGGGAACGGCUCACCUAGCCGACGAUCCCUAGCUGGUCUGAGAGGAUCACCCGCCCCACUGGAACUGAGACACGGUCCAGACUCCUACGGUAGGCAGCAGUGUGGGAUAUUGCACAAUGGGCGCAAGCCUGAUGCAGCAAUGCCGCGUGUGUGAAGACGGCCUUCGGGUUGUAAAGUACUUUCAGCGGGGAGAAAGCGACUCAAGUUAAUACCUUUCCUCAUUGACGUUACCCGCAGAAGAAGCACCGGCUAACUACGUG